GCUACUGUGGUGGAAUUGGCAGACACGCCGGACUUAGAAUCCGGUGCCGUAAAAAGCUUAUCGGUUCAAAUCCGUUCAGUAGCACCA
RNAcentral lists this transfer RNA (87 nucleotides) under Candidatus Coproplasma avistercoris. RNAcentral describes it as "tRNA-Leu". It matches the Rfam family "tRNA". From Rfam's summary of the family: Transfer RNA (tRNA) molecules are approximately 80 nucleotides in length. Lineage: Bacteria; Bacillati; Bacillota; Clostridia; Eubacteriales. The record is from RNAcentral.